RNAcentral lists this ribosomal RNA (756 nucleotides) under uncultured bacterium. RNAcentral's name for it is "bacterial SSU rRNA". It matches the Rfam family "Bacterial small subunit ribosomal RNA", at positions 30 to 776 of the family's 1533-position model. The record is from RNAcentral.
UGAACGCUAGCUACAGGCUUAACACAUGCAAGUCGAGGGGCAUCAGGAAGAAAGCUUGCUUUCUUUGCUGGCGACCGGCGCACGGGUGAGUAACACGUAUCCAACCUGCCCUUUACUCGGGGAUAGCCUUUCGAAAGAAAGAUUAAUACCCGAUGGCAUAAUGAUUCCGCAUGGUUUCAUUAUUAAAGGAUUCCGGUAAAGGAUGGGGAUGCGUUCCAUUAGGUUGUUGGUGAGGUAACGGCUCACCAAGCCUUCGAUGGAUAGGGGUUCUGAGAGGAAGGUCCCCCACAUUGGAACUGAGACACGGUCCAAACUCCUACGGGAGGCAGCAGUGAGGAAUAUUGGUCAAUGGGCGCUAGCCUGAACCAGCCAAGUAGCGUGAAGGAUGAAGGCUCUAUGGGUCGUAAACUUCUUUUAUAUAAGAAUAAAGUGCAGUAUGUAUACUGUUUUGUAUGUAUUAUAUGAAUAAGGAUCGGCUAACUCCGUGCCAGCAGCCGCGGUAAUACGGAGGAUCCGAGCGUUAUCCGGAUUUAUUGGGUUUAAAGGGAGCGUAGGUGGACUGGUAAGUCAGUUGUGAAAGUUUGCGGCUCAACCGUAAAAUUGCAGUUGAUACUGUCAGUCUUGAGUACAGUAGAGGUGGGCGGAAUUCGUGGUGUAGCGGUGAAAUGCUUAGAUAUCACGAAGAACUCCGAUUGCGAAGGCAGCUCACUGGACUGCAACUGACACUGAUGCUCGAAAGUGUGAGUAUCAAACAGG